UACGAACUGUGCGAACGUUAUUCGGAAUCACUGGGCUUACAGGGUGCGUAGGCGGCUAUUCAGGUCAGGUGUGAAAGCCCUCGGCUCAACCGAGGAACUGCGCUUGAAACCGGAUGGCUCGAGUCAACUAGAGGUGCACGGAACUUCCAGUGGAGCGGUGAAAUGUGUUGAUAUUGGAAGGAACACCGGAGGCGAAAGCGGUGCACUGGGGUUGGUCUGACGCUGAGGCACGAAAGCCAGGGGAGCGAACGGGAUUAGAUACCCCCGUAGUCC
Molecule: ribosomal RNA, 273 nt
Filed under: uncultured bacterium
Lineage: Bacteria
Description: partial 16S ribosomal RNA
Rfam family: Bacterial small subunit ribosomal RNA
Source: RNAcentral